UAUCCCAUGACAUAUUAUAAUAUAAUAGUGUCGGAGGCAAACGUCAAUAUUUACUAUAAAAAUAAGACAAUUCACACCCAACGAGAUGGAGGGGGUCGGGGUUAAAUCACGCCGGGCUGGAAUUUCGAUGGAAGUCCAGGGCCCCAUUAACAUCCCGUAAAACACUAGUGCAAGAUAAUUGUAUUAUUUGAAUUUUUAAAAAUACUGCAGCCUGUUAU
This is a non-coding RNA of Cinara cedri, 218 nucleotides long. The record is from the annotation of a GenBank genome assembly. Lineage: Eukaryota; Metazoa; Arthropoda; Insecta; Hemiptera; Aphididae.